Molecule: long non-coding RNA, 302 nt
Organism: Rhipicephalus sanguineus (brown dog tick)
Lineage: Eukaryota; Metazoa; Arthropoda; Arachnida; Ixodida; Ixodidae
Exons: 3
Source: RefSeq, a predicted model, not a curated record
GAACGAGGGAACUUGUGCAGCGACGAGCAUUACAAUGUCAGCUGUGAAGGCUGCACUCAUCCUGAUGCUCGCACUCACAGUCAUGGUAGAGUAUAUCUCAAGCACGGAUGACCUCAACAAGCCAGAGUGUGCAGAUCAAGCUUGCGACAGACCUGGUGACCCGAUCUGUGGAGCACGUUGCGAUUGCACCCAGUUCGGCGGCGAAAACUCAUAUAUAUGCACCGCAUUGUAGACAAGUGGUUGACAAGAAGCUACCUUGUGACGGCAAGAACGUACUGCGAGGAAGGUUGCUCUAAUAAAAU